GAUGAACGCUGGCGGCGUGCCUCAAACAUGCAAGUCGAGCGGGGCUAUGUAAUAUCGCAAGGUAGAACAUAGCCUAGCGGCGAACGGGUGAGUAACACGUGGGUAACCUGCCUGGAAGACAGGGAUAACGAUUCGAAAGGGUCGCUAAUACCUGAUAAUAUCCUUUCAUCGCAUGGUGAUAGGAAGAAAGGGGAAACCCGCUUUCAGAUGGGCCCGCGUCCCAUCAGCUAGUUGGUAAGGUAAAGGCUUACCAAGGCGACGACGGGUAGCCGGUCUGAGAGGAUGUACGGCCACACUGGGACUGAGAUACGGCCCAGACUCCUACGGGAGGCAGCAGUUGGGAAUCUUAGGCAAUGGACGAAAGUCUGACCUAGCGACGCCGCGUGAGGGAAGAGACCUUUCGGGGGUAAAGUUCUUUUCUGUGCGAGCAGGGGUGUAACAGUAAUAUGGUGAUCACCUUGAUAUUAGUACAGGAAUAAGCCACGGCUAACUCCGUGCCAGC
Molecule: ribosomal RNA, 502 nt
Filed under: uncultured bacterium
Lineage: Bacteria
Description: bacterial SSU rRNA
Rfam family: Bacterial small subunit ribosomal RNA
Source: RNAcentral